ACGAACGCUGGCGGCAUGCCUAACCCAUGCAAGUCGAACGAGACCUUCGGGUCUAGUGGCGCACGGGUGCGUAACGCGUGGGAACCUGCCCUUAGGUUCGGAAUAACUCCCCGAAAGGGGUGCUAAUACCGGAUAAUGUCUUCGGACCAAAGAUUUAUCGCCUUUGGAUGGGCCCGCGUUGGAUUAGCUAGUUGGUAGGGUAAAAGCCUACCAAGGCGACGAUCCAUAGCUGGUCUGAGAGGAUGAUCAGCCACACCGGGACUGAGACACGGCCCAGACUCCUACGGGAGGCAGCAGUGGGGAAUAUUGGACAAUGGGCGAAAGCCUGAUCCAGCAAUGCCGCGUGAGUGAUGAAGGCCUUAGGGUUGUAAAGCUCUUUUACCCGGGAUGAUAAUGACAGUACCGGGAGAAUAAGCUCCGGCUAACUCCGUG
Molecule: ribosomal RNA, 432 nt
Filed under: uncultured bacterium
Lineage: Bacteria
Description: partial 16S ribosomal RNA
Rfam family: Bacterial small subunit ribosomal RNA
Source: RNAcentral